GGGGGGUCACCCUGUGGAAAAUGCGUUAUGUUUUUUUCCCUGCACAUAUAUCCACGGUGUUUUUCCGCUCCUAAACAACACACAUAUCAGUUGGUAUACUUGAAUCACGCAGGACAAUUCUAUAAUGUGAAGGACAGCAAAAAUGCCUUAUUAUGCUUCAAAACUGAAACCUAAAAAACUAAACAAAAAGCUUGUGUCUAUUUCAUUCAUGGUCCCUGUUAUUGGAAUUCCAAUCAUUUCUGUGUUUUAUUUCGUUGUUUUAUUGUCAUGUUGUUGUUUUUCUUCCACUUUGCACUGAAACGUUAUUUUUCUCUGUGUUUAAUCUGCAAUACAGAGGGAGCUGCCAGUUCCAAUGUAGCUGUUUACUCAAGGACGUUCUUACUGUGUGUGUGUGUGUGUGUGUGUGUGUGUGUGUGUGCUCUCCUCUCUGCCUUGGCACAAAUACCUUCCGGUGGUAUUGUGGAGAAGCAGUUUAACGAUAUAGAGAUGCUGAUUUAUGGCUCGUUUUUGAUGUUUAAAGACAGAAGUAUUUGCACCAACGUUGUGUUUUAAAAGUAGAGAACGUGAGUCUCUGCAGUGUAAAGGAUCUCAGCUGUGACUGGAGCCCCGCCCUGCCAGACUGGGGGACGGGGACGGCACUAUGACAACAGGGGCAGAACAUGUUGUUUAGAGACCAGCCUAUUGUUGUGAUGGAUGCAGCCUCCGGUUGUUGUGGCGACGGCCUCCGGUUGUUAUGGCGACGGCCUCCGGUUGUUAUGGCGACGGCCUCUUUUUGUUAUGGCGACGGCCUCCGGUUGUUGUGGCGACGGCCUCCGGUUGUUAUGGCGACGGCCUCUUUUUGUUAUGGCGACGGCCUCUGGUUGUUGUGGCGCCGGCUUCCGGUUGUUGUGGCGACGGCUUCCGGUUGUUAUGGAGACGGCCUCUUGUUUACAGGCCCUUAGGAGGGCGACAGGUGGAUGGUCAUCUUCCUUCAUUUUAAAAACAAUUUUAAAAAAUAAAAUAAAAUAAAAAAAAUACCAAAAAAACUAUUAAAAUUAAAUAAAAUCGCUAGAAAAAAAAUAUAAAAAUGAAAAAAAUCUAUACCACAACUCUAUAGAGGACGAAGACGAUGCUGAAACUCUGGGAACCAUGUUCUGAUCUGAGUGGGGUCGGUCAGUGUCCUGACUGUAGAUCUGGUGUAGUGUCGGUCAGUGUCCUGACUGUAGAUCUGGUGUAGGUCGGUCAGUGUCCUGACUGUAGAUCUGGUGUGGGGUCGGUCAGUGUCCUGACUAGAUCUGGUGUGGGGUCGGUCAGUGUCCUGACUAGAUCUGGUGUGGGGUCGGUCAGUGUCCUGACUGUAGAUCUGGUGUGGGUCGGUCAGUUGUCCUGACUGUAGAUCUGGUGUGGGGUCGGUCAGUGUCCUGACUGUAGAUCUGGUGUGGGGUCGGUCAGUGUCCUGACUAGAUCUGGUGUGGGGUCGGUCAGUGUCCUGACUAGAUCUGGUGUGGGGUCGGUCAGUGUCCUGACUGUAGAUCUGGUGUGGGACGGUCAGUGUCCGGACUGUAGAUCUGGUGUGGGGUCGGUCAGUGUCCUGACCCGUGGUUCUGGUGUGGUUCUGGUUAGACCUGAAAUGGAGCCAGUGUCUCCCCAGAUUCUCUCCUUGUCGGAUGCAUCCAUCUUCUAGCACUGAAACGACUUCUGGUUGUGUGAGUUAGUUUGUACCUGCUUGGAAGAGCUCAGCGGUUUCACCCCCCCCCAAAAAUGCUGUCUUACGAAAAGGUAGAGAAAUCGGCGUGCUUCCUCCUCCUCCUCGCCACUGUCCUCCCAGUGUGUGUGUGUGUGUGUGUGUGUGUGUGUGUGUGUGUGUGUGUGACGUCAGUGGGACUGAACCAUAAAGCUGAUCCCUGUAUCUAUGCAUAUUGUAGCCAAUCACAAGGACUACAGACACGGGGAGGAGGGGCUUAAUUCUGUCUGUGUCACAACGUCAAAAUGUUUUAAAAUUAAUAAUGUGAUGAUGAUCUCUCUUUAUAUAUAUAUAUGACCUUGUUUCAAUCUCUCUCAUUGCCACAGAUGGUGGUCAAGAGAGAGGAAAAAAAUCUGUAAACAAAAAACAACAACAACAAUAAUAAUAAUCGUGUUUUUUUUGUGUUUCGGCUUCUUCUUCGUACCUCCCUAGAUGGCGCUCUGUCUGUGGUCGCUGCAGGGGAGGGGACGAGGGGGGGUUGAUGUAACCUAUCGGUGGUCGUUAACACAACUCUUCUUCUUCGUACCUCCCUAGAUGGCGCUCUGUCUGUGGUCGCUGCAUGGGAGGGGCGAGGGGGGGGGGUGGAUGUAACCUAUCGGUGGUCGUAAACACAACUCUUCUUCUUCGUACCUCCCUAGAUGGCGCUCUGUCUGUGGUCGCUGCAGGGGAGGGGGCGAGGGGGGGGUUGAUGUAACCUAUCGGUGGUUUAGAUUUACCCCAUUGAUUGUUUUAAGUUGUGAUGACAACGUGUGGGAGCUUCAAAACAGAGAUGUAUGAGGACCUUCAUGUCUUUACUUACAUUUAGUAUCUAUAGAAACCAAAAUAAUCAAACUGUUUCUCUCCAGUAGUUUUAUUGGACUGGUAGAAGUUGCUCGUUGUGUGUUUUUGACUGUAUUGAAUACCUUUGUAAAGGCCUUAGCGUACAACACAGACUCUCCACUCCUCUCCUCAUCUCCUCUCCUCCUCAUCUUCUCUCCACUCCUCCUCUCCUCCUCUCCUCUCUCCUCC
This is a long non-coding RNA of Oncorhynchus tshawytscha (Chinook salmon), 2731 nucleotides long. The record is from Ensembl. Lineage: Eukaryota; Metazoa; Chordata; Actinopteri; Salmoniformes; Salmonidae.